UUGGAGGGCAAGUCUGGUGCCAGCAGCCGCGGUAAUUCCAGCUCCAAUAGCGUAUAUUAAAGUUGUUGCAGUUAAAAAGCUCGUAGUUGAAUUUUAGGCCUGGCCGGGCGGUCCGUCUUUGGCGAGUACUGUCCUGUGUCGGGUCCACCUUCUGGUGAACCAGUAUGUCCUUUAUUGGGUGUGCCGGGGAGCCAGGACCAUUACCUUGAAAAAAUUAGAGUGUUUAAAGCAGGCAUUUGCUUGAAUAGAUUAGCAUGGAAUAAUAGAAUAGGACGUUGUGGUUCUAUUUUGUUGGUUUCUAGGACCACCGUAAUGAUUAAUAGGGAUAGUUGGGGGCAUUAGUAUUCAAUUGUCAGAGGUGAAAUUCUUGGAUUUAUUGAAGACUAACUAUUGCGAAAGCAUUUGCCAAGGAUGUUUUCAUUAAUCAAGAACGAAAGUUAGGGGAUCGAAGACGAUCAGAUACCGUCGUAGUCUUAACCAUAAACUAUGCCGACUAGGAAUCGGGCGACGUUAUUUUCAUGACUCGCUCGGCGCCUUAUGGGAAACCAAAGUGUUUGGGUUC
This 562-nucleotide ribosomal RNA is filed under the name uncultured Glomeromycotina. RNAcentral's name for it is "SSU rRNA". It matches the Rfam family "Eukaryotic small subunit ribosomal RNA", at positions 548 to 1114 of the family's 1831-position model. The record is from RNAcentral. Lineage: Eukaryota; Fungi; Glomeromycota.